AGAAGCAACAUUUUUCCUUCAGGGCAUCACAGAGACCACCUUGUUGAAGGAGAAGUAGAUCUAAUCCCCUGCGGUUCUGAAGGACUACCUCACUAAGGACCACAGGGAGUCUGCAAGUUGGCUCAGCAGAGCGACUCUUUGGGAAGAACUGGACCUGCAGUCUGUGUGUUCUUUGGGUUGCUGGCCACUUUGGGAAGACACCUAGAGUCAACAGAAGUAGGAAAUGGAGAAAGUAGCCUUUGAGGAUGUGGCUGUGAACUUCACCUGAGGAGAGUGGACUUUGUUGAAUUCAAGUCAAAAGAAGCUCUACAGAGAUGUGAUGAAGGAGACAUUUUUGAACCUGAUCUCCAUAGAGAAAGCAAAUAGAAGAAAAUAGUGGAGAGGACUGCAAAGACCUCAGCAGAAACACACGGUAAUUGAUAUUCAAAAGAAAGGAAUUGCUCUCACAUAUUUGCAAAUCUUUGAACAAUUGCAAGCCUACCAAAAUCUCUAAACAAAAUUAACUGAAUAAUGAUCUCUAUGCAAAUUUCUGCAGUAGAGCAUUGAAUUGUGCCAUUCAAUAUUUGAGUGUCUCGUGUUUGUAAUGCAUUAAGAACACAUGUGUCAUGUAAUAUUAGCCUCUGAAAGAGCUUUACCAGUGGUUUAUUACACACAAACUUCAAAAGUAUUUGCCCUCUUUCUAUACAUUACUUUGAGGUUUUGUUUUGUUUUGUUUUUUGUUUUUGUUUUUGUUUUUUUGCUUUCAUUUGCUAUGACCAAAAAAAACAAAACAAAAAACAAGUCUGGGGUGGAGCUCACUUUUCCUUACACAUCCUUGUUUCAUUCCCAUCAUAAAGGGAAGUCAGGGCAGGAAUUCAAGCCGGUCAAGAACCUGUAAGCAGGAACUGAAGCAGAGGUGAUGGAGAAUUGCUGUUUUCCAGGGUGCUUCUCAUCCCUUAUUGAGAUAACCGCCUUAUACAGCCCUUGCCCACCUGUCUAUGUGGGUACUACCCACAGUGGGCUGAUCAAGAAUAUGCCCUCAUAGACAAGCCUAAAUGUCCACCUGAUAAAGCCAUUGACUCCUUUCUGGUUCUCUCUUCUCAGAUGUGUCACCUUAACCAAAAUAACCAGCAGGUACCUUUCCUAUACAGCUCAUGCCCUCUUGCCCAUGGCCACAAUGCACAUCAUAGUGUUAGCAACCUUCAUCAAUAAGGAAUGUAAAAUGCUCCCUCAGACUCAUUUACAAGCCAAUCUGAGUCAUUUUCUGUUUUGAGGGAACCCAAUCUGUGAUGUCCCUAGAUGUGUGUAGUUGAUAACUAAGGAACCAACACUCACUUAGAAUUCUGAAUGUCAAAAUGCUACAGUGUUUCCCCACUUUAUUUGAUUGUAAGGAUUGUCUACUGACACCAGAACUUUUGCCUUCAUGUUCUAUCCUUUUCCAUAUUGUUUUGUACCUGUAUAAGUGUGUCUUAUGUUUGUGUACAACCCUAGUGUCAAAAUGUUUUCUAAAAGGCAGAAGAAGGCAAUAGUCCCUACAUACCAUGAAUAACAGGAACUGGUGUUUUCACACGAGUGCUGGUCAUCAAAAUCUGGACUACCAAAGACCAAAAUAUUUUUAACCCCCAAA
Non-coding RNA from Cricetulus griseus (Chinese hamster), 1606 nucleotides. Lineage: Eukaryota; Metazoa; Chordata; Mammalia; Rodentia; Cricetidae. The record is from RefSeq and is a predicted model, not a curated record.